UACGAAAGGGGCUAGCGGUGUUCGGAAUUACUGGGCGUAAAGCGCACGUAGGCGGACUAUCAAGUUGGGGGUGAAAUCCCGGGGCUCAACCUCGGAACUGCCUCCAAAACUGUUAGUCUAGAGGAUGUGAGAGGAUAGUGGAAUUCCGAGUGUAGAGGUGAAAUUCGUAGAUAUUCGGAAGAACACCGGUGGCGAAGGCGACUGUCUGGCACAUUUCUGACGCUGAGGUGCGAAAGCGUGGGGAGCAAACAGG
This 253-nucleotide ribosomal RNA is filed under the name uncultured bacterium. Its description in RNAcentral is "partial 16S ribosomal RNA". It matches the Rfam family "Bacterial small subunit ribosomal RNA", at positions 524 to 776 of the family's 1533-position model. The record is from RNAcentral.